This is a non-coding RNA of Gossypium hirsutum (cotton), 107 nucleotides long. The record is from Rfam. Lineage: Eukaryota; Viridiplantae; Streptophyta; Magnoliopsida; Malvales; Malvaceae.
AUUUUGUGAUGGUGGCAUCUUUUUAAUAGUUCUUUAAACCUUUCCCACGCCUCAUACAAGGACUCAUCAUUCAACUGUUGGAAGGUAGUAAUCUCGUUCCUCAACUU